GGGUUAGUCGGGACCUAAGGCGAGGCCGUAAGGCGUAGUCGAUGGACAGCAGUUAAAUAUUCCUGCACCGGCUUGGGGUUAGUUGACAGUGACGGGGUGAGAAAGGUGGCUAAGUCAUCGAAAGACAGAGCCUAGACUUCGGUCGAAGCGUACCACCGGACGAUCCUCCGAGAAAAGCUAGUUAACAUGUGCCCCUAGUCGCCCGUACCGCAAACCGACACA
RNAcentral lists this ribosomal RNA (222 nucleotides) under Astrosyne radiata. Its description in RNAcentral is "partial Bacterial large subunit ribosomal RNA". It matches the Rfam family "Bacterial large subunit ribosomal RNA", at positions 1377 to 1661 of the family's 2925-position model. The record is from RNAcentral. Lineage: Eukaryota; Bacillariophyta; Fragilariophyceae; Cyclophorales; Cyclophoraceae.